This 864-nucleotide long non-coding RNA is filed under the name Capsicum annuum. RNAcentral describes it as "long non-coding RNA (CANN_LNC003681)". Lineage: Eukaryota; Viridiplantae; Streptophyta; Magnoliopsida; Solanales; Solanaceae. The record is from RNAcentral.
AAAGGGCAUGUUUUCUUCAUGAAGACAUUUUCAUCUUCUUCAUCAUUCCCCUUCCUCAUCUACACCCCCAACACUUAAUUUCUUCAUACCUUCAUUCCGUUUCUUCGUAAUCCUCUUCCUAUCAAGUCCUAAUUGAUUCAAAAUUUCAUUUUUCGACAAUAAAAAAGGCUUCAAAAUUGAUGAACAGGUUUGGUUCUUGGCCAAGAAUUUCAUGUCAUGCGAAUAUCAUCUAUGUCAUCUAUGAAUUUGGGAUUGUUUAUGCCAUUUCUGUAGACAUUUUGAGUAGAAGAUUGAAAAUUUGGGAGUUUGGGGAUUUUGGGUUUUGGUUAAUGUGAAAGAAUUUGAAUUUGAGAUUUUGUGUAUUGAUGUGGUUUUGUGAUCAUGUAUUUGUAUAUAGUCUAUUGUUGAAUUUGCUCAAGUUAAUUCAAAUUAAUUUUUCAUUUGAUAAAGAAAACAAAUUUCUUGAAAUGCUUGCAACAUGGUUCACCGAAAUAGUGAAUUUUUGUGAUGGACGGAGUAUUUCGAAUGUUGUUUCUGAUGUUUACGGGUGAAAUCAAGGAAUGUGGGGGUCAAUUUUGCGUCAAUGAACAAAAUAAAGAUUAUUGUUAUUGUUCUUGUUCAUCAAUUUUUUUUACAAAAAUUCAAUCUUUUUAGUGUUUCUUGAAUUGGGUUGUACUUAAAUUUACAUAAUUUAUACAUUUUAAUUUUAAUACAUAUUUUACCUUUUUUCAAGGAUCUUUAUGAAAUUCUUUAGUGUAAUUUUGGUGGUGGUAGCCAUCGUGGUGGUGACAGCGGUGGUGGUUGCCAGAGGUGCUGAGUUUGGAGGAUUGAUGGGAAAGUGAAAGUGGAGGAAGUUAGAGCUAG